UACGUAGGUGGCGAGCGUUAUCCGGAAUUAUUGGGCGUAAAGCGCGCGCAGGCGGUUCCUUAAGUCUGAUGUGAAAGCCCACGGCUCAACCGUGGAGGGUCAUUGGAAACUGGGGAACUUGAGUGCAGAAGAGAAGAGCGGAAUUCCACGCGUAGCGGUGAAAUGCGUAGAGAUGUGGAGGAACACCAGUGGCGAAGGCGGCUCACUGGCCCGGUACUGACGCUGAGGUGCGAAAGCGUGGGGAGCAAACAGG
RNAcentral lists this ribosomal RNA (253 nucleotides) under uncultured bacterium. RNAcentral's name for it is "partial 16S ribosomal RNA". It matches the Rfam family "Bacterial small subunit ribosomal RNA", at positions 524 to 776 of the family's 1533-position model. The record is from RNAcentral.